Molecule: ribosomal RNA, 438 nt
Filed under: uncultured bacterium
Lineage: Bacteria
Description: bacterial SSU rRNA
Rfam family: Bacterial small subunit ribosomal RNA
Source: RNAcentral
GCUAAACGCGAAGAACCUUACCAAGGCUUGACAUGCAUCUCUAAGCGCGUGAAAGCGCGUGACCCUUCGGGGAAUUUGCACAGGUGCUGCAUGGCCGUCGUCAGCUCGUGUCGUGAGAUGUUGGGUUAAGUCCCGCAACGAGCGCAACCCCUGUGAUUAGUUGCCAGCGGAUAAUGCCGGGGACUCUAGUCAGACUGCCCAGAUCAACUGGGAGGAAGGUGGGGACGACGUCAGGUCAGUAUGGCCCUUACGCCUUGGGCUGCACACGUACUACAAUGCCCAGUACAAUGAGAACCGAGACCGCGAGGUGGAGGAAAUCUGCAAAACUGGGCCCAGUUCGGAUUGGAGGCUGCAACUCGCCUCCAUGAAGCCGGAAUCGCUAGUAAUGCUGCAUCAGCUACGGCAGCGUGAGUACGUUCCCGGGUCUUGUACACACCG